Acomys russatus (golden spiny mouse) is the source of this 145-nucleotide small nucleolar RNA. RefSeq annotates it as small nucleolar RNA SNORA48. The record is from RefSeq and is a predicted model, not a curated record. Lineage: Eukaryota; Metazoa; Chordata; Mammalia; Rodentia; Muridae. The transcript has a single exon.
CGCACCUUGACAAUGAGCAAAGAGAUACCUUGUUGGAGAUGUUGUUCUUAGAACAGUCAGGGGCAGCGCAGAUGGCAAUCCUUUGCUCAUUCUAGCUUGAUGCCUAGAUUGGUGGCCAAAGAUGUUUUGUGCCUAGGACUCAUAA